UAGAAACAAUAGCUUCAGCUCCAAAGGUGAGGUUGAAAGAAACUUUUCUAAUAGACGUUCGAUGUGUCAUUCGGUAGGCCCAUGGUAUAUUGUAAAGCUCCUCAAUUCAUAGUCCUUUUGCUCCAUCAAGCCUCGACUUUAAACCCUGAAAAAUAGUACGAUUAGUUACUUCUGCUUUCCCAUUGGACUACGGAUGGCUGAUCGAGAUGAGCCUA
RNAcentral lists this long non-coding RNA (215 nucleotides) under Elaeis guineensis (African oil palm). RNAcentral describes it as "long non-coding RNA (EGUI_LNC032347)". Lineage: Eukaryota; Viridiplantae; Streptophyta; Magnoliopsida; Arecales; Arecaceae. The record is from RNAcentral.